UUUUGAGAAGGGGGGCCUGAGAAACGGCUACCACAUCCAAGGAAGGCAGCAGGCGCGCAAAUUACCCACUCCCGGCACGGGGAGGUAGUGACGAAAAAUAACGAUACGGGACUCAUCCGAGGCCCCGUAAUCGGAAUGAGUACACUCUAAAGACUUUAACGAGUAUCCAUUGGAGGGCAAGUCUGGUGCCAGCAGCCGCGGUAAUUCCAGCUCCAAUAGCGUAUAUUAAAGCUGUUGCGGUUAAAAAGCUCGUAGUCGGACUUGUGUCCCACGCUGCCGGUUCACCGCCCGUCGGUGUCUAACUGGCACGCACGUGCGGACGUCCUGCCGGUGGCCCGAGCCGGCGCCCGCGGGUGAGGGGGGCGGUGACGCCACCCCGCCUCGGGUCGUCUCGGGGAGGGCCUACACAAUCCCGUCGCGGUGCUCUUGACCGAGUGUCUCGAUGGGCCGGCACGGGAGAGGGAGCAAGAGAAACGGCUAACGCCUCGAAGGAAGGCAGCAGGGCCGCAAAUCACCCACUCCCGGCUCGGGGAGGAAGUUCUAUUUUGUUGGUUUUCGGGAUCCCGGAUGUAAUGAUCAAAAGUGACGGACGGUGGCAUUCGUUCGCUGACGUAAUAUGUAAAAUCCCCCAC
RNAcentral lists this ribosomal RNA (632 nucleotides) under Anacanthotermes sp. RNAcentral describes it as "SSU rRNA". It matches the Rfam family "Eukaryotic small subunit ribosomal RNA", at positions 375 to 925 of the family's 1831-position model. Lineage: Eukaryota; Metazoa; Arthropoda; Insecta; Blattodea; Hodotermitidae. The record is from RNAcentral.